Molecule: ribosomal RNA, 253 nt
Filed under: uncultured bacterium
Lineage: Bacteria
Description: partial 16S ribosomal RNA
Rfam family: Bacterial small subunit ribosomal RNA
Source: RNAcentral
UACAGAGGGGGCAAGCGUUGUUCGGAAUUACUGGGCGUAAAGGGCGCGUAGGCGGCCUUCUAAGUCGAACGUGAAAUCCCCGGGCUCAACCCGGGAACUGCGUCCGAUACUGGAAGGCUUGAAUCCGGGAGAGGGAUGCGGAAUUCCAGAUGUAGCGGUGAAAUGCGUAGAUAUCUGGAGGAACACCGGUGGCGAAGGCGGCAUCCUGGACCGGUAUUGACGCUGAGGCGCGAAAGCCAGGGGAGCAAACGGG